CGCAGCUGUGUCAAAUUCGGUGCCUGCCCACCCUGUGGCCGGCACUGGCCCGAAAGGCUGCCACAGAAACACUGUGACCCAUGGGCCCUGGUCCCCUGUGCUGGGCGUCAGGGAUAAAUUUGGUCAUAGACACCU
Molecule: small nucleolar RNA, 135 nt
Organism: Ailuropoda melanoleuca (giant panda)
Lineage: Eukaryota; Metazoa; Chordata; Mammalia; Carnivora; Ursidae
Product: small nucleolar RNA, H/ACA box 5A
Source: Ensembl